AUGUUCGAGCAAUUCGGACAAAUCUUGUACGAGGCUGGAGGCUAUCGAGUAGAAGAGAUCGAGAAGCACUCUCUGUACAAGGCGAUGCACACCAGGCCAGAGAAGCGAGAGAAGUGGAGCAGAGUAGUCUUCAUGGUGAAAAUGCUAAGCGGCGGUGAGGAGUUCGAGUGCGAAUGUGGUUUGUUCGAGCACAUGGGCAUGUUGUGCUGCCAUGUUCUGAAGGUAGUAAUGGAACACUGGAUUUAA
This 246-nucleotide ribosomal RNA is filed under the name Triticum aestivum (bread wheat). Its description in RNAcentral is "partial small subunit ribosomal RNA". Lineage: Eukaryota; Viridiplantae; Streptophyta; Magnoliopsida; Poales; Poaceae. The record is from RNAcentral.